ACAAAACGCGGGAACGAGUGAAAAUCCGCACCAAAAAUCAAAACCCCUCGUCUCACUUCACUUUUGCCCUAAUCUAUAUUUUUUCUUUCUCUAUCGGAAAUCUCUCUUUCUUUCUCUCCGUCGCUGAAGCACCAUCGGCUGUGGCCAUUUCCGAGGACAAUCGGUGAGAUUUCUCAAACUGUAAGAAGGAGGACCAUCGGAAAGAUUUCUCAAAGUGCAAGGAGGAGGACCAUCGGUGAGAUUUCUCGAAGUGCAAGGAGGAGGACCAUCGGCGAGAUUUCUCGAAGGAGCAGUAAAACUUUUAGAGUCUCGUUCUUGGCCAUAUCGAGCAGGUGAACGAAUGCACAUCAGUCUUGCUACGUUUUGCAAAGAAGACUAACAUCCCCGUUCGUUUGGUGAGGAUACAUUGUUCAAAAUCUAAUCAAUUUUCAGUUUUUGUUACUUGAUUUACAUUUGCUGAAGAAUGGGAUUUCUUCCAAUUAAUGCUGCUAGGUUCAAUAUCGGUCCACAUACUAGUUCUGUGCUUUUCAAUACUCUAAAAUGUGAAGGGAAGCCAAAAUUGAAAUUCUUGGGAUGCAUACUAAUUAUUAUCUUCAUUUUCACAUCUAGGUCGAGUGUUAAAUGUUUUUUUUCUUGAGUCCCUUAAGUUGCAUUUUGCCAGAGCUGGGGUCUCUAUAUAUAUAGAUAUUUUUGGGCAUGUUUGCACAUCAAAGUCUGAAAAUUUAUGGUUGUUUUGAAGGAUAAGUGCUUGAUAAUGGACUGUAAUUUGGAAGCAGAUGACUCAAACAGAUGUUGGCUCUGGCAGAUGAUCAAUUGGUCAUUUUUGCUUCAUUAUUUGGUGGUUUGUUGCAUGUGGGAGCCGAUGAUAUUGUUUUGCUGUUUGAAUUUGAAAAGUUUUAUUAGUUUCGAAAGUAAGAAGAUAGUUGUAAUCGUCAAUCUUCAUUAUAUGUUUUGCACUUCUUUACAAUU
Molecule: long non-coding RNA, 969 nt
Organism: Corylus avellana
Lineage: Eukaryota; Viridiplantae; Streptophyta; Magnoliopsida; Fagales; Betulaceae
Source: RefSeq, a predicted model, not a curated record